GUCAGGACCCUGCAACGUGAGCCCCCUCUCAGUGUCACCUAAGGGCAGCCGCGCACAUCUCUGCACAAAUCAAUGACUCCAGACCUUAAUAUUCCCCUCCUCUCCCUCUAUACCCCCGUCCCUGUCCCUUGCAGACUUGCCCUUUCCCGGUGAGCUCAUAUUUAAUUACCUUAAUGUUGGAAUGAAUAAAUAAUGGAUUGAUGAAUAGCUUAUGGAACGCGAUAAAUAAUACAAGAUCAGAGCAGGGCUCCGGGCUGCAGCCUCUGGAAGAGCGGCUUCUCCCCGGCUGACUUCAGCUCUAGGAGCCUAAUUCCCUCUACCAUUCUUCCUUUGCCCCCACUGCCCUCCAAAGGGCACAAGUAUUCCCAGCUGGAUAGCGCUUCCCUCGUUUUCAAAAGGCCACGACUAUUUGGGACCUUGGGAAGAGCUGUUGACAGCAUUGUUGCUGAGCAAAUAAAGAUUCUGAGGGUUCAUUUGUGAUUUGGUAUCUUAACGUUCUAUGGUUUGAGCCGGCAGGCUUCUGGACUCAGUUUCCCCAUCUGCGCCGUUGCGUUUUCCGAGGCCACCUCUGCUACUGAGGAAUGCCCAGAAGCUUUACUUGCUAUUAGCAAAAAUGCUUUGGGAACCUCGUACGAAAGGCGCUGGAUGGGGUGUAAAUUAAAUAAAACUGUGUCCGGCUCCAAUAGCUGUCUGAUUGUAACCUAAUCCUUGCCCUGCUCUGAGAGGGACACUGCCCUCAGAGCCAGGACGACAGCGGCUCCAAGAAGAUUAAAUAAAGAGGUGUGUGUGUGUGUGUGUGUGUGUGUGUGUGUGUGUGUGUGUGUGUGUAGAUUGCAAUGCUGGCCUAUUUUACUGCGAUAGAAUGAGAGAUGUCCUGCAAUUUCAGCCCCAUCAUCUGUUAUUUUGUGUAUAUGUGGAGAAUGUUUAGUAAAACUGCACAAACAAAUAAAGCUGUAAUUAUCUUAAGCCUCAUUUGCACACCUUGUUCCAAAGCAAUUAUUAAAAAGAUUUUGAAAACAAUUAGCGUCUCUAAACAAAGAUAAUCUAUUGUCAGUAGCUGAGACUGGCAGGAGAUAAGAACAAUGCUGGGAGAUAAGGAGAGCAGAAUGGUGGAAGGAGAGUGACUUUAUAACUAUACUUAUCUCUGAUUAGAUAAGUUCAAAACAGAAUUUUAAGUACACUUCAAAAAUGCUUUUGAUUUAAAUGCACCCUCUUAGUGAAUGUGAAGAACAGACUCUAGGCUCUUUAAACUUGCUUGUCUUCUUUAAAUAUGUUUUGAGUCCACGAGCCAGAGCCCAGCUCCACAGAACCAUUUACAUAUUGAGACAUAAGUGGGAGAAGGAACACCGCGGAAGUUUCCCCCUAUGUAAUGUAUAUGGUUUUAAAAUAAUGUGCCCAGUUCAGUGCACCCCGCAAUAUAUAUUUUAAACUCAUGAAGCGUUUCACCCUCCUGGCUGUCUCUCCAGAGAUUCGGAGUAGAGAGAAGCUGCUUCUCCCCCAAACUCCCACACACAAUGCAUUUUGCAUCCUUAAAAGUCUGCAGUAUCCCGUGCAAUUAGACGUUGGAAAUAGAUGCUGACAUUUCAUUACCUUUAGGGUUAUUUUUUAAAUGCAUUUAAUGGGUGCAUAGUAUUUCAAAAGAGCCCCUACCACAUGGUGCGCCCAAUGACUUACUUUCUAAACUGGAAGCCUGGCACGCCUGAGCCCAAGCCCAUGUGUCUGGUAAUUUUCCCUCGCCGUCUUAUUUUAGUGCUCAUGAUGUUUCAGAUGAAGUCUUAAGGAGCUGCAGUGUCCUGCCAGAAGGAACGUCUCUGCUUGGAAUAGUCCUUAUUGACAUGGCAGCUGUGUGAAGACCGGAACGGAGGUUUAAACUCCGCUCUAAACAUCAGUUAAUACCCUCAAGUCUGGAGCAAGUGCGCAGAAUUAAAAUGUGUGUGUAGGGGGUGGAGGGUCUGUAAGCACAGCCGCCUGUCUUUAAAGACAAACGGUAACCGCCACGCGCGCACAACUGGUUUAUGGAAAAGGCCAAUGCACUAGUUGCUGGUGGGAUUUCUCGGCGGGAUCGAUAUAAGGCCUCAGCUCAAAAAUUUCUGUGUGGAACCCACUUGUUUCUCUUAUGGCUUGGAGAGAGAUGCACUGGGUCUCCCGGCCCUGCUUUCUCGGAAUUCCUUUGCCUUCAAGAACCACAGCGGGGAUCCUACUCUACCUACAGAUACUUGGAAGGAAAGAGCAUCGAGAGGUGCUUCUUCAAUAAAUUAGCGUCGUCGCCCUAGGGCAGUGAGGAGACUCCCCAAA
This is a long non-coding RNA of Felis catus (domestic cat), 2295 nucleotides long. RefSeq lists it as uncharacterized. The record is from RefSeq and is a predicted model, not a curated record. The transcript is spliced from 2 exons. Lineage: Eukaryota; Metazoa; Chordata; Mammalia; Carnivora; Felidae.